GCCAGCCAGCGGGGCCGCGCUGCCCCUCGGACAGAAAAGGGGAGCCGUGUGCGUGGCCCGAGCGAUUCCGCCCCCCGGCGCCCAGACACGGGCUCGUCUUUCCGCUGGGCGGGGGAGGGCGGGAGCCGCCGCUGCCCGGGGUGGGGGGAAGACAGCGGCUUCGGUGUAGAAAAAUUACAGUGCAAAAGAAUAACCACGAGCAGAAGGAGACUAUCAAAGAUGACAAAGGGAAAAAGAGAAACAACAAAUCAGCAUUUAGUGAGGAAGAUAAAGAAGGUAUGAUGAAACAAGCCCUGCUGGACCAGCAUCACCUUGGAAUGUAUAAGGAUCUCUACAGAAGGAGAAAUGCCAUGUAUGCCCAUUACCAAGACUUGCUCAAUAAGAAAGUUCAAAAGCAGAGAAUUCAGAUUCAAAUGUCUGAUUGUAGGCUCAAGCAAAAUCCUGAGCAGCAAAGAGGAA
RNAcentral lists this long non-coding RNA (459 nucleotides) under Dromaius novaehollandiae (emu). RNAcentral describes it as "lncRNA (ENSDNVG00000003487.1)". The record is from RNAcentral. Lineage: Eukaryota; Metazoa; Chordata; Aves; Casuariiformes; Dromaiidae.